Long non-coding RNA from Phyllostomus hastatus (greater spear-nosed bat), 695 nucleotides. RefSeq lists it as uncharacterized. The transcript has 4 exons. The record is from RefSeq and is a predicted model, not a curated record. NCBI's taxonomy places the organism in Eukaryota, Metazoa, Chordata, Mammalia, Chiroptera, Phyllostomidae.
CGGAAUUGGAGCAGGAGCCCGGGGCGGCGGGCGGCUGCUCGCUGCCUCCCCUUCCCUUUUUCUUUUACAAGCAGAGGCGGGAAGGCUGAGGAACUUCUUGAGGCUCUUUGGUAAUGACACAGGAAGAGCCGAGGAAAAGGCCCGGGAGGGGCCAGCCCCCUCCCCCCGCCCCCUCUCCUGGCUCAGGGCCUCUCUAGGCUAGGGGCCUGUGCUGGGCACUGAGCACUGGGGCCUGGAAAGAAAGGAAGUUAAGGCGGAGGCGUCUGCUCUGAAGAUGCACCAGCUGCUGCAGAGCCACAUCCCCAGCCAGGGACAGCAGGUUCAUCAGCAGGAAAGUGGAGAGCACGGGGGUCUCCUCUGGAGGGGAGAGGAAAGACAGGGAGGAAAAGACACAGAAGCAUGACGGAGGAACAGCGCUCCAGAGGCGUGCAGGGGACCUUCUCAGUUGCCCGCUCCCAAAGCAGUUGGGUCACUGAUGGUUUCAAUUCAUCCUUCUGCACAAACUCACAGAGCUGAAGAAAAAAGAAAAGCAGGCUAAAAGGGGCUUGGACCGAAAGGUAGAAUAUGGGAUCCCGUGGUCAGUCACCACCACCAGGCUCUUCUCUUGCCCAGCCCGGAGGGAACUGUGGCUGGCAGUCAUGUUCCCGCCGGUGGGAGCUCGUGGUCAGCGCCACCUCCACCUUUGCCUCCAUAAU